GAUGAAGAACGUAGCGAAAUGCGAUAAGUAAUGUGAAUUGCAGAAUUCAGUGAAUCAUCGAAUCUUUGAACGCACAUUGCGCCCGCUAGUAUUCUGGCGGGCAUGCCUGUCCGAGCGUCAUUUCAACCCUCAAGCCCCCGGGCUUGGUGUUGGGGAUCGGCGAGCCUCCGCGCCCGCCGUCCCCUAAAUCUAGUGGCGGUCUCGCUGUAGCUUCCUCUGCGUAGUAGCACACCUCGCACUGGGAAACAGCGCGGCCAUGCCGUAAAACCCCAACUUCUGAAUGUUGACCUCGGAUCAGGUAGGAAUACCCGCUGAACUUAAGCAUAUCAAUAAGCGGAGGA
This 341-nucleotide unclassified non-coding RNA is filed under the name soil metagenome. Its description in RNAcentral is "partial contains 5.8S ribosomal RNA, internal transcribed spacer 2, and large subunit ribosomal RNA". The stretch from base 1 to 120 matches the Rfam family "5.8S ribosomal RNA", at positions 35 to 154 of the family's 154-position model. The record is from RNAcentral.